CAGAUAAGUGAAAAUUUACUUAAAGUUACAUUGUGUAAGAAUAUCUCCCAUCUAGCGGUGAAAUUGUAUAUGAAAAAAUACUGAACAUUACUUUCCAGCCCCUCCCAUUCCGAGCACGUUUUAACUUCUACGGUGGCCGUAUUAUUCCAAGAAUUACGACUUUGUCCGUGAGUGUUCCUUCCAGUGUAAUGAUAGUUUUACGUUUUCUUUAUUUUGGUACCAUUUCAUUGCUAAUAUCAGCUGU
Molecule: long non-coding RNA, 244 nt
Organism: Etheostoma spectabile (orangethroat darter)
Lineage: Eukaryota; Metazoa; Chordata; Actinopteri; Perciformes; Percidae
Exons: 3
Source: RefSeq, a predicted model, not a curated record